Molecule: ribosomal RNA, 460 nt
Filed under: uncultured bacterium
Lineage: Bacteria
Description: partial 16S ribosomal RNA
Rfam family: Bacterial small subunit ribosomal RNA
Source: RNAcentral
CCUACGGGUGGCAGCAGUGAGGAAUAUUGGUCAAUGGCCGCGAGCCUGAACCAGCCAAGUCGCGUGAAGGAUGACUGCCCUACGGGUUGUAAACUUCUUUUAUAUAGGACUAAAGUGAGUCACGUGUGCCUUUUUGUAUGUACUUUAUGAAUAAGGAUAGGCUAACCCCGUGCCAGCAGCCGCGGUAAUCCGGAGGGUCCGAGCGUUAUCCGGAUUUAUUGGGUUUAAAGGGGUGGAAGAUGGGUUGUUAAGUAAGUUGUGAAAGUUUGCGGCUCAACCGGAAAAUUGCAAUUGAGACUGGCAGCCUUGAGUGCAGUAGAGGUAGGCGGAAUGCGUGGUGUAGCGGUGAAAUGCUUAGAUAUCACGAAGAACUCCGAUUGCGAAGGCAGCCUACUAAACUGCCACUGACGCUGAUGCUCGAAAGUGUGGGUAUCAAACAGGAUUAGAUACCCCUGUAGUC